This 482-nucleotide ribosomal RNA is filed under the name uncultured bacterium. RNAcentral describes it as "partial 16S ribosomal RNA". It matches the Rfam family "Bacterial small subunit ribosomal RNA", at positions 30 to 507 of the family's 1533-position model. The record is from RNAcentral.
AUUGAACGCUGGCGGCAUGCCUUACACAUGCAAGUCGAACGGUAACGGGCCUUCGGGUGCCGACGAGUGGCGAACGGGUGCGUAAUACAUCGGAACGUGCCCGAUCGUGGGGGAUAACGAGGCGAAAGCUUUGCUAAUACCGCAUACGAUCUACGGAUUAAAGCAGGGGACCGCAAGGCCUUGCGCGGACGGAGCGGCCGAUGGCAGAUUAGGUAGUUGGUGGGAUAAAAGCUUACCAAGCCGACGAUCUGUAGCUGGUCUGAGAGGAUGAUCAGCCACACUGGGACUGAGACACGGCCCAGACUCCUACGGGAGGCAGCAGUGGGGAAUUUUGGACAAUGGGCGCAAGCCUGAUCCAGCCAUGCCGCGUGCAGGAUGAAGGCCUUCGGGUUGUAAACUGCUUUUGUAAGGAACGAAAAGCCUUCUUUUAAUACAGGAGGGUCAUGACGGUACCGUAAGAAUAAGCACCGGCUAACUACGUG